CCAAAACAAUUCAAAAGAAGUUAAUCAAAACAGUGAACAAUACUAGAACAAUCUCAUUGGAGAAAUAAUAUCCAAAUCGGUCCGAAUAGUAAUAACAAAAUUGUGGUAAUAAUAACAUCAAUCAACUGAAAAUCUACACAAAUAUAUAUUUUUUUUAAAAAAAAAUGGAAGAGAAAAAAGGUCACUUUAAUGUAGCAUUUUUGAAAUAGUUCUGAUUGUUUUUGUUGUUCGUCGGAGCUCAGAGCGGCAGCAGGGGUCCGGCUAUUUCAUCGAUCAUCCUCCGAUGUGGAGUUUCUAUUUGUGAUGUUCUGGAGCUUGAAACCACGCUCAAUACCUGCAAAAGAAUGAAAAAUCGAAAGGGGAAAGGGGAAGUAGUCUGGUUCAGUUGCUCAUCAAAGCUUGGAGCUCAUGGGUUUCGGAGCUUGCCGGUUCGAGUGAGAUCUGAUGGAGUUGCUGAUCUUUUAGGGUGGGUCUGGGUGAAGGAAAACAGGGGUUGAGUGAUGCGGUUUUGAUUUCGCCUGAUUCUUUUUUGUUGUUUGGGGUCGUUUCUGGUGGGGAUUAUGGCAUGGAUUUUUUGGUACGUUUGGUGGUUGUUCCAAAUGGGUCUGGUGGGUUUGGAGGGUUAUUUUGCUGGUGAAUUUGGAGGCUAUUUCUGGUGAUGAUUUGGGGUCGAAGCUGGCAAGGGGCGGAUCCACGUUACAUUGGAGGGGCACACGUGCAUUUGGUAAUUUCAAAAAAUUCAUAUUUAUAUAUAUAUAUUUAUUUUAAAAAAUUGGUAGAAAUUAAGAUAUAGUUAAUAAUGCAUCUAUAAAAAAAACAUAGAAGAACAAGUAGAAGCAAGAGAUAUUACCCUCUAGACCAGGGUUUGAAUUUCACUUAAGCUUAUUUUUAUUAUUUUUAUUUUAAUUUUAGCGUAGACAUCAUAUUUGAGUUAUGCGUAUAUUAAUGCACCAAAAGUCUUCAAAUCCUGAGUUCACCUCUGAUUGGAUCGCUAUAGUUGAAAAAUUAUAAUACAAAAGAAAUUUUAAAAUGCAAAAUCGAAAAAAGUGAAUAAAGACGAAACAUAUUAAAAAUUAUCACGCAUUUUCUGUAUUAGGCUUCUAAAUAUCCUGAUGCCCUCCACAUUACCAAGAAAGAAAUAGUUUGUUGAACAAUCGAUCAUCUACUAUAUGCAAACCUGAUCAGUGAUACCUUUCGAUAUACAGAAGGUUCAUUAGCGACUUCAUUGAGGAACCUGGAACUGAGAAAUGAAAUAAAAUGAUUAGGAAAUGAAAUUAAAGAUCAAAAAUUGAUUAAUAUAUAUACUGUUAUGAAACUAUAUGAAAUUAGAAGACGAAUAAAGUAGGGUGAAGAGAAAAAUUUCUUAUUUCUCUUGAAGUAUAUUCAGGAUUCAUUGAUCUUCCUCAGAUCUUCUUUACAAUGAAGGAAAACCUUUUAUUUUAUUGGGAAGACCUUACUUCGUUCCCAAGUAGGAUACCUAACUAUAUCCUACAAGGACUCUAUAUAAUUGGACAUUCACUAUAAUACAAAUAUGUUUAUAACACUCUCCCUUGAAUGUCGGUAGAUUAUGUGCCUCAUUAAAACCUUACAAGAUAAACGCAGUAGAAAAAAAAUCUAUUGAAGGAAAAAGAGUAUACAUAUCUAGUAAUACGCAUUAUGGAUGCCUCAUUAAAAACCUUACAAGGAAAACUCAGUGGGACAAAAUCUUGUGAGGGAAAAAGAGUACAUCGCGUAUUAAUUCCCCCAAAUGACAUCAUCAAUUCAGAGACUAGAAUCUUCAUUUUCCAAGCUUGUGCACUUGAAAGUUGUAGUUGGUAGAGACUUGGUGAAUAAAUCAACAAUAAUAUUACUUGAACAAACAUCUUGCAUGUUGAUAUCACCAUUCUUGGGAGCUUAUGAGUGUAGAAAAACCUUGAUGACAUAUGUUUUCUUCUAUCUCCUUUUAUGAAUCUUUCCUUCAGGGUCAAAAAUUUCUGCAAGUUUGUUACUUCAACUUCUUUAAGCAAAUAAUCUUUUGUCAAAAAUUUCAAUUCUAGUCAUCAACUUGCAUAAUAAUACUUGUAUAUGCUCUAUGCAUUUUGAAUCUAUUUAAUCCUUAUGAGGAUGAUAAACAAGUUUUCCAAAAACUUGUAUAUGCUUUAGAUUUUGAACCCAUUAAAUAUUUUCAUAUUUUCAUAUUAAUUUUGUCAAGUAACACAUUCAAUAUUAGAUGUAUGACAUCCUUUAAUGCCUAGAUUGCAAGUCAAAUAAGUUUUACACUUACCACGAUGCAUCAUUCCACUUUUCACUUGGUAAUUAUUUCUACACAAGCAUGCUUUAAUAGAUGUAGAAUUCAUAUACUCAUAAUCUUUUACAAUAUUGUGCGUCAUUGUAUCAAAGAUAUCGUCAAUUAUAUAUCAUUUUGUAUCGAUUCACAAUAUGACAAAACUUAUUGAGAUCUCAUUACUUCAUUAUUUUUAGGCAACUACCUCUCUCAUGAGGUUUUAUAAAGUGUUAUGUCGUAAGAUCUUCAAGAGCACAUUGUAUCCUUAUUAUAAUUAUUUUGAUUCUUUGAUCCUCCCUCUUUUUCAAGGAUUAUUUUAUUUAAAAUUGAUUAGUUUAUCAUGCUUCAUGCAUGUCAUAGACUUUAUCUUAAGGGACAUUCAAUAGGAGUAUUUACAAUUCUUCUGUUGCUUCUAGUCUCCCCCUUUUGUUAAACAAACUAACAUAUAUCUCAAUCAUUUGGAGAAUCUAUCUUUGUGCAUCAUUGUAUAUUCAUUGAUUAUAUAUUACAUACCAAAAUAAUCAGAUGAAAGAUAUUUAAUCAUUGACCAUAAAUCGAUAGAAAGAUAAUUUGAUCAUAAUUUAUUGGUUUAAUGAAUACAAUUACUUUUGUAUGCGGUAUCAUAUUUCAGAUCGACACAUGGAGCUUUAUUUUCACAAGCAAUGAUUUCACUAUCUUAAACACUUAAUGUCACAACAUCUUGAAUAUUUAUCAAUAUUAUCAAGAUAAAUUGUCUUGAUCACAUAUUUUAAAUUGUGCUCUUAACUCAAUUUUUUUUUUGCACAAACAAUUUUAUGAAUGACAAACUACAUGUUGACAACAAACGCACAUGUGAUUAUCUUAUAGAUGCAUCUCUUUACCAUAUCACAUGAUAGGUGAACGGGCCCAUAUUCACCUUUUAUACUUUUCAGAAUUUAAGGAUUUAGUCCCAACUUUAGUUGAUCGAAUCAACUUUAUCACGAGAACAAGCAACGAAAAGAAUUCUUGAAGAAUCUUCUAGUUUUUCAAAGUAUGUCCAUUACUCAGUAUGCACAUCUUUGGGAUAAUCAAUUUAUUCAUGCCAACUAAUAAAAUUAUUAGUACUCGUAAACUCCAUGUUUACUACGCCAUGUGUCUUUUGCUUUAGUAAAUUUAUGAUUUACUAUUACAUGAGUAAAUAUCAAUUUUAUUACUCCAAGAGUAAUUUUCAGAUUUAUUUCUUCUCAAUUUCUUUAUCCUUUAAGUGAGUCGUGAUCCCAUCAUUGAAUGAACUAAUCUAAAGAACAUUGUGCAUGUAAACAUAUUAUUUGUGCCAAUAUUUUUGCAAACAUCAAGUUGCGAGAUAAUAAUAGGCACACAUGAGACCAUAUAGAAGAAAUAUUUAUUAGGACCAUUAAGUAUCUAAACAUUCCACUAGGUGUAUGAAUAAGUCCACAAAUAUUUAUAUACGUUCCUAAAACGCAGGAGAUUCAAUUUCAACCGUUUAUGAUGACCUCACAAUUAACUUGCCUUGUUAACAAGUAGUACAAGAAAUUCACCGUUUAAAAGAAUUUUUAGGUUCUUCCAUGGAUGUCCAUUUUAACUUUCCAUAAUUCGUCUAAACAUUAUAGACUAACGAUGUCCCAGACAAUCGUGUCAAACUAAGAAAGUAUUGGAAUUAGCAAACUUCUUAUUUACCAUAGAAUGUGCCUCAAUUGCACUAAUUUUUGUCCAAUACAAGCCUGAAUAUAAAACAUGAAACUUUUCUAUAAUACAUGUCUUCUGAGAGACAUUCUUAGUGAUACCACAUCAUUGGAAAAAAAUCGCAAUCUUUCUCAUGCCUGACAUGGUGGCUUACACCUCAUUCCCUUUAGAGAAUGGAUUUAUAUUUUUACCAUUUAUCAAAAUUUUUCAUUCUUGAUGAAUGGAACACAAACAUGUGAUCAAAUCAAAUGAUAGUUGUAGUACCUCAUUCCAUAUUAUGUGCAUUAUUAAAUCACUUGUCUUCUUUCACACAUAUUAUGCACUACUAUUACGUUCACUUUACGUAAUGAAGAAAAUUCAGUAAAUCUCAUGACUUCUCAUAAAAUACACAUUAGUUUUUCUUUAGUCAUUAUUAUAUCAUCAAUAUGGUGCAUUAGAACUCAAAUUCAAUGUCUUAUCCAUAUAAAAGUGUCUUAGGUCAUAAAUCGAUGGGUCUUGAACCCAAUAUCUUAUCAUCAUGGUGCAUCUUGACUUUGAUCCAAUGUCUUAUCCUCUUUGUGCGAUUGGACAUAAAUCCAUCGUUUUAUUCUUUUGAUCCGAUGAAAAUUGAUUCAUCAUCUUAUUCUCAAUUGAGACUCACCCGAGUCUCUAAUGAUAUAUCAACUCCAAUAAUCUUUUUGAAUUAAUUGCUCAUAUAAUAAUAAUAAUAAUAAUAAUAAUAAUAAUAAUAAUAAGUUUCAAAUUAAAAUUGAACAUGUACAUAUGUUCACAUAAAAAUGUGUUCACUGCCACCGUCUUGUUUGUUUUUUCUUUUUGAAUUUAUAUGCGAUUAUCCCACAUUUUUAUUUUGUCAAUUAAUUUGUAGAUUAUCAGAAUUAACAAUAAAUGUUAAUCAAGAAAAAUACUACACAUACUUGUUUGGUGUCCCACUUGCAAUAUUAACACGAUUCUUGAGAGAAGAAGUCUGCUCAAUCUGAAUGAUCUAAACUUAAUCACAAAAUUUGAGAUUCGUGCUGGUAACGUGUUAUGAAACUAUAUGAAAUUAGAAGACGAAUAAAGUAGGGAGAAGAGAAAGAUUUUUUAUUUCUCUUUAAGUAUAUUCAGGAUUAAUAGAUCUUCCUCAAAAGAAUCUAUUCGACUUUUGUGAUGUUAUUUUUGAAGAUUUCUUAUUCAUAUUGGAUAUUCAGUAAAAUUUGAAAAGUUGCAACUUUGAGGACGAAGAGAAUAGAAGAGAAGAGACAAACUUUUGACUUUUCAAAUGUAAGUACUUUUUUUUAAAAAAAAUGGUAAAAUAUGAAGAAUCGCGUCAUUAAGUUUUUUUUUAAAGUUGUUUAAAUGAUAGCAAUGAUAUGAUUGAUUGAAUGUUCAUACACAUUAUACGUAAGUAUUUUUUUUUAAAAAAAUAUGUUGGUAUAGAUUUAUUUUAUCUUUUUGUGCUUGUAACACAUAAUUUACAUAUGUUGGGACAAAUAUAAUUUUAUGUUAUAUUAUCUAACACAUAAUUGACAUAUGUUGCCACAGAAGUAAUAUUUUGUGCUAAGAGGCAACACAUAACUUCAUAAGUUUCCAUCGAUGCAAUAUUCUGUUGUAAAUGGCAACACAUAAUUGACAUAUGUUGCCACACAUGAAAUAUUUUGUUGUUAGUAGCAACACAUAAUUGACAUAUCUUGCCACAAAUGAAAUAUUCUAUUAUAACUAGCAACACAUAACUAAAUAAAUCACAUAUUAAAUAUAAAUAACAUCACAUAAGUCGAUUCUAAAUAAUAUAAGAAGAAAGAAAGAAUUCUUAAGCAUUCAUCAAAAUUCAAGAACACUACUUAUGGGACAUUUCGAUUUGGCCAUAUAUUUUUUAUGGCCAAAGUCCCUACAUAUGGAACACUUAUUUUUUCUUGUUUGAAAUGAUUCACCAACUCCACGCCGUCUCUUAUAUCUCCUUCUUCCAAGUUUUCUUGCAUCAACAUAUGGAGGAGGUACUUCUCUCUGUAUUAUAUCCAAAGGGACAAUCCAAGAAACUUCAUAUGGCACCAGGUGUGUUUCCUGACAAUUUUUCAUUGUAUAUUUUUCCACCUAAUAAUAUGAAGAGGAGUAAUCAUAAAUCUGAUUUCCAAAAUAAGCACCAUGUUGGGAUCGAAGCGUUGUUAUGACAUGUGGACAAGGUAUUUUAUUCAAGUCAAAAAUUCUGCAAGUACAAGUUCUUCUUUGUAAAUCCACAUAAGCAACAUUAGCAUGACCAGUGACACUGAACUUGUAGUUAGCGAUUUGAUGAGUCAACAACUUGUUGCUCGCAUUGACAUACUCUGCUAUGUCUUUUGAAAUUGAGGGAACAAAUGUGUAACGACCUGUUUAGUCGUUUUGAGCAACAGACUUCAAUUCUGGAAAAACUGACAGAAGCGACGGACCCCACGACGGACCGUCAAGGGCACGACGGACCGUCGCAGGGUCUCGUUUCAAAACACUUAGAAAAUCUGAAAUUGGGUACUGAAAAUCGACUCUCUGAACUUCGUGACGGAAUGGCAGGAUGGACCGUCACAGGUGUGAUGGACCGUCACAGAUUGUUCAGUGGAAGUUGACUCUCUGACCCUUGCGACGACCUGCAGGACGGACCGUCGCAGGCACGACGGCCCGUCACAGGUUGCGCAAAUCCCAGGCAGAGUCGGAUUUCUGGUGAAGUUUUAAGGGACGUUUUUGGACUAUUCUUUCCUUAAUUAUAGAUUUCGUGGGGGUUAUAUUAAUAACUAAAAUUCUUAAGGGGUUAAAAGAGGUAACCCUAAGUUAAUUAGUGGGGUAUUAUUGCCAUCUUUUAUUCUUAAUUAUAUACUAAUUAGGGUAAAAGAAAGAGGGUUUGAAUAAAGAAAAUAGAAAGAACAAGAGAAAGAGAGAGAAUCGAACGAGAAGGGAGAAACAAAGCUUUGGGAAAAUUCUUGCUUGAUUCAACUCUUCGGUGGAGGUAGGUUAUGGUUUUCAUACUAUUCGUAGUAAACUCUUAAUAGCGAAUGAUAUGUGUUAGUAGUAUUGUGAACCUUCUAUAUGCUUAAUUGUAUGCUUGCAUGAAUGAUGUGAUUAUGUAAUUAUGAAUAAAUAAGCAUGAUGAAGCUAUUGAAUCCCAAAUCUUGAAAAGAAACCCUAAUCUACUUUGUUAAUGAUGAUGCCUUGGUAUAAAAGAAGGCUUGAUGAAUGAAAGUAGUGAGAUUAGGGGAUCGGGUGCCACGUUCCGGUACCAGGAUAGUAUAUGAGGAUCGGAGUGUCACGUUCCGACACCAGGAUAGAAUAUGGAUCGGGUGUCACGUUCCGACACCAGGAUAGAAUAUGGAUCGGGUGUCACGUUCCGACGCCAGGAUAGAAUAUGGAUCGGGUGUCACGUUCCGGUACCAGGAUAGUAUAUGAGGAUCGGAGUGUCACGUUCCGACACCAGGAUAGAAUAUGGAUCGGGUGCCACGUUCCAGUACCAGGAUAGAAUGAGGAUCGGAGUGUCACGUUCUUACACCAGGAUAGUAUAUUGAGGAGCGGAGUGUCACGUACCGACACGAGGGGAAUAAAGAUAAUGAUUCUUGAAAGAUGUUAAUAUAUUCAAUUUAAUAUACUUAAUUCCCAAAUGAGUAUGGUGUUGAGGCUUGAGCCCUCAUGGAUGAACUUGAUGGUACUUAUUGAUGAUUAUAAUACUUGUUGUUGCUUCAUGUUGAGUUUUAUAGUUGAUUUACGAUAAUAUUGAUAUAUACUGUUCCCUAUUUUGAGUUGGCCGAUGAUAUCUACUCAGUACCCGUGUUUUGUACUGACCCCUACUUUUAUGUUUUUCUUCUUGUUAUUUGUGGAGUGCAGCAAACGUGCCGUCAUCUUCGACUCAACAGUAACUCAAGCCAGUAUUCGCCACACCGGAUCUUCAGGGUGAGCUAACGCUUCUAGCUUGGACUGGAUCUUCUCCUUCAUGUCUUGAUGCCUUGAACUUCCGGCAUGGACUAGCUUCUUAUGUAUUUUUAGCUUUUUAGAUACUCUUAGUUUAGUAAUUUAAAGGUAGAUGUUCUUGUGAUGAUGACUUCCAGAUUCUGGGGAUAAUGAUAAGUUUUUGAGUUAUAGAAGUUGAUUAUUGAUUUUACUUAUGAGUUUAAGUCUUCCGCAUUACUUUCUGUUUAUAUUAUAUUGAAAUGUUAAGGUUUAGAUUGGUUGGUUCGCUCACAUAGGAGGGUAAGUGUGGGUGCCAGUCGCAACCCGGUUUGGGUCGUGACAAAAUGUAUUUGCAGAGUGCACCAGUUUCAUACACCACUGGUGAAAUAACAGUGCAAUCUCAUGUUUAUUUCAUUUAAUAGAACUUUC
RNAcentral lists this long non-coding RNA (8233 nucleotides) under Solanum lycopersicum (tomato). Its description in RNAcentral is "long non-coding RNA (SLYC_LNC000931)". Lineage: Eukaryota; Viridiplantae; Streptophyta; Magnoliopsida; Solanales; Solanaceae. The record is from RNAcentral.